ACAGAUUCAGCUUUAAUUCACAUAUAAACAUUGAUCAGUGAACAUAAACAGAAGCUCAACUGUACUUGUUUUUGACUCGAGAACAAUUACUUUAUUUGUUCUUGUGGAAGCUCAAACGUGCUGAGAAACACUGUUACUAGUUUCAUUUUUAUGUUAAGAUUUUACAGUUUCACUUUGUCAAGUAGAGACAUUUUAUUUACAUUAAAAAUAUGUAAUUAUAGCUUACAGAUUUUAAAAACUGACAAACAAAAAAUUACAAAAUAGCAGCACAUACAUAAUGUUUUCAGAUUUAAUUAUUAAGAUCAUUGCUUUCAUCUCCUAUUUCACAUUGGGGUGUAAAUUCAUUUAUUGUAUUUGACAGGUGUGAUGAUCAGUGGAGUUGAGUUUUUACCUCCAUUAUUAGGUUCUGGACUAAAAUAUGGAUAGAGUUUGUCAGUGAAAGACUGACCAGUGUAAGAGUAGAUAUGAGAGCUGGACUCCACAUCAUAAAAGGAGACCAGACCCUCCUCAUAAUCCACAAACACACCGACCCGCUGCGGCUUCACUCUCAGACACAGAGAGACAUCAGGACCAGCACAGGCUUUAUAUUCAUUCCCAUUCCUCAGAACCACAGUCCAGAAUCCAUCACUGGGUCUCAGUGUGAU
Molecule: long non-coding RNA, 644 nt
Organism: Ctenopharyngodon idella (grass carp)
Lineage: Eukaryota; Metazoa; Chordata; Actinopteri; Cypriniformes; Xenocyprididae
Exons: 2
Source: RefSeq, a predicted model, not a curated record